RNAcentral lists this long non-coding RNA (28753 nucleotides) under Lathyrus oleraceus (garden pea). RNAcentral's name for it is "Pisum sativum (pea) long non-coding RNA (PSAT_LNC010339)". The record is from RNAcentral. Lineage: Eukaryota; Viridiplantae; Streptophyta; Magnoliopsida; Fabales; Fabaceae.
AAAGACUAAAAUACUAGAUCAUUUGAAUGUCAAAAUAAAAAUGUAAUACCAGAAGAAAAGAUAUAGUAAAGCAAAAACUUUCACAUGCCACACUGCACGAUCAUGCAGUGUUUAUUAUUCCAUUGAUUAUUUAUUUGUUCAUUUCCAUACACACAAUUAAAAACAGAGUCUAAGGGACUUUGUUUAGUCACAUGCAUGAUACAUAGUUAUACUUGCUCAGUUCUUAAUGACCUCCUCCACCUCAGAGUUGUGACAUGCUUUAUAGCAGAAUUUAUGAGUAUCAAAGCACUGACACUGGGGAGGAUAAGAUAGUGCACAAAUGCAACUGUCGCAUGCUGAGUGACAAGUUUCUCCAACAUCAACACAGCGACACGUAGGAGGGUCUGAUUUUGUGCAAAGGCAGGUAUCACAACAUGCUGAUUUGACAUCAUCACCAUUGGAGAGCACUUGAGUUAUGAAGGAAGUUGAAUCAAAACGAGCGUUAACAACAUUUGCGGCGAAGCUCAAGAGGAAAACCAUUAGAGCUAACUUCAUCAUUACCUUCUUAUUCAUCAACUCCAUUCUAACUCUUUUUCUCUUUCUUACUUUCUCUCUCUCUCUUUCUUUAUUUGCCUUGUGAAAAAGCAUGAAGCUACAUAGAUCUAUUUAUAUUGGUAUUUUUAUUCAAUUUUAUUAAUUUAAGUAUGUUUAUAGGCGUAAUUAUCCUCUAUUAUAUUAUUAACUUUUGGUUCAUCUUUCGUACGUGUAGACAUUUUUCUGACGAAAUGCAUAUCUGUAGACAUAAGGCCAUGCCAUGUAUAAGAACAUGUAUUAUUCAUUAUUAUAAUUUACACGUGUACCUAUUGCACUAAAAACUAAAUAAUUAACAAUUAGAGAUUACAUUAAUAUAAUUAAAUAAUUAACAAUUGAGAGGCAACAAUAGCAUGAAGCUACAUAGAUAUAUUUAUGUAGGUAUUUUAAAUCCAUUUUAUUAAUAUAAGUGUUGUCCUUAAAAAAUAUUAAAUUUUUUUUCUGUCUCACUUGUCACUUGUCAAUUUUUUUCUGGUGCAUGUGACUAAUAAGCAUAACAUUUAUUUUUUUCUUUCAACGAUUCCAUUUAAUCGAGGAGAAUAAUAAGAGAGGGUUACUUCACAAAAUUAUUCCUUCUUUUUUUUUUCAAAAAUCAUUAAAAGAAAUAUAUUCUCCUCCUAUAUCAUAUCUAACUCUUUUUAUUUUUUUAUUUAAUUGAUUUUCAACCUCGACUUUGUAUAAGAUAAAUUUAUGAACGCUUCAUCUUUAUGUUUUAACAAAUAAGCUUUAGUGAAUCUUGAACAAUCAUCUAUAAAUGUUUUAUAAUAAUUAUUUCGUCCUCUAGAUGUAGUUUGCUUUAAGUCUCCUUAAUCAAUACGAAUUAGACCAAUAAGAUCAGAUUCACAUUGCACAUACAUAUAUUUUUUGUGUGUUAAUUUUGAUUCUAAACAAAUAUCACAUUGACCAGAUUGCUUAUUAUUUAAAGUAAUCAUAUCAAGAAAUUGUAUUGUAUUAAUAUAAGAAGAAUUAACAUGUCAUAUAUCAUAAGAAUCAAUCAAGUAAGCAUAAGAAGAAAUUUUAUUAUUCAUAACUUCAUAAAUGUUCAACACAAAGAGUCUCGGGUCACAAUAACUUUUUCCACACAAAUACAUUAUUCUUUGUCAUUAUAAUCUUGUUAGAUUCAAAUGACCCUUUAACCGCACCAUUGCUCAAAAGAGCCACAUAAAUUAAAUUAGUCCUAAUAUUAGACGUAUGUAAUACUUCACUUAAAGCCAAUGUCUUUCCUGAUGUGAACUUUAAUAUAACUUUUCCUUUUUCUGAAAUUGCAACAGUUUGAGAAUCGCCCAGAUAAAAUCGUUCUUCUCCAUCCUCCACAAUAGGUAAAGGCAUCUUUAUUAGCACAAAUGUGCCUAGUAGCCCUAAAGUCUAUUACCCAUUUGUUCGCAUCAGUCACAAUAUUUGCUUGAGCAAUGACAACAACAAUAAUAUCACCUCCUUCAGCCAAAUUAGCUUUAGAAGGAUUGUCAUUCCUCUUGCAAUGUUUGCAUUGAGGUGCAUGAUGACCUGACUUAUUACAAACGUAAUAUUCUUCUCUUUUUUAAAGUGAGAUUAGUAACACAAGGGAUAAAAUUAUUAUUAUUAUUAUGACCAGAUUUAUGAUCGGGUUUGUGAUCGUACCUCUUUUUGUAAAACUUAUUACUAGUGUUAUUAUGGACCAAAUUUGCUCGAGAAACAAAACUUUUUUCCUUGGUAGCCUUGCUCUCCUUUAUAUUUGUACCCUCGAUAAUGAUGUGUGUGAUCAAAUCUGCUAAAGGUAAUUUCUUUUGCUUAUGUUUGAGUUGAUUCUUGCAAUCCGUCCAUGAUUCCAACAUCCUCUCAAUGAGAAUUCCAACAAUGAAUUAACCUGGCAAAGUUAUUUUCAACUUUCAGUUCUUCUAACAAUUUAUGAUACUCGUUGAUCUGCGCCUUUAUAUCUUUAUCUUCCGACAUUUUCCAAUGAUAGUAAUUUCCGAUCAAAUUUUUUUCUCUUCCAGCGAUAUAAUUUAGAUUCACCGAAUCCCAUAUCCAUUUUGCUUCCUUGUAUGGGCAGUAGAAAUCAAACAAAUUGUUAGAAAGAGUACUUAAUAUUGUGUGUCGACAUACCUUGUUUGCAUGUGCCCAUUGAUCGAUAAAUUUUUGAGUUGCAGACGAUGCUGGUUUCAAUUCUUAGAGAGCAUAUGCAACACCAUGCAUGUCAAGGAUGAAGUGAACAUGCUCAUACCAUCUGCGAAAGUUUUGGCCAUUGAAAACUUCAAUUUUUGACACAUUGGGGAAUGAUUUAGUGUAAUUGAUAUUCGGCACAACGAGAGGUGGUUGUUGUUGAAUAGUUUCAACAUUGUUGAUUUGAGGUUGACGGUUGGAGUCAUCACUGGAAUUGUCUUUGAUAGACAAAAUCCUCGAGAUUGUUGAAUAAUUUGCUAUGAAGACCUGUAAAAUAAGAUUGGGUUAAAUAAUCUGAGACGCGCUGACCGCGUUGUCCUCAAGGAUUUUCCACGUAAUACGCUAACCCUUUAGGAUUUAUCCGAUUCUUCUCAGUAAAUCGAGGAUACAAAACUCGCAAGAAAAAUUAUUUGAGCUAUUAGAAAUUAAUCCAGAAUUAAGAAAAAUCAAAUUAAAAAACGAUUUUUUAAAUAGUGUUUUUUCUUGUAUUAUGUGCAAAGCCUCACUUGUCUACUUCUUUUUUUGUCCUUUCUAUGUAUUAUAUAUUCUAGUAGAGAAGAAUAGAAUAAUAAUCAAUAAAAAUCAAUAAAUGAUUUCAUUACUUUUAGAAUAUCACAUUUUAUCGCCAUUAUUCUGAAUAAAGAUUUUAACGUCAAUGUAAUAACAGAAUGCAAGUAAUAAUAUUUUGUUACUUAAUUUGAAAUUGAAAAAUAUUAUAGAUAUUGAAUGACGUUUUAAUUUUAUUUACAUUUUUUAUUUUUAAUAUUAUACACACAUGUUAAUUUAUCGUUUUUAUUAAAUACAUCACUAUCAAACUUGUACUCAUUUUAAAAUAAAUGUUUGUUUAUUUAUUAUCUCAACAAUAAUAUCUUUGAAUUUUUUUUAAUGUUUUUAAAAACUUCAAAUGACAUGAUAAAUUAUUUUUUAUUAGAAAUGUGAGUAAACAGGUAUGGAUAUGAGUACUUAGGUACGCAUAGGGUACGAGGACAAAUAUAAAUAUUGGUGCCCAUGCGAAUAUAGACUCGGGUAAGGAGAAUUUUUUAAACUGCAGGUACGGGAACAUGUACUAUGCUCAAACCAUGCUCAUCCCACAAAUCCUAGACCAACCAAAAGAAGACAUGGAACCGCGGAAGCUAUGAGUGAAGGUGCUUAGUGGAAAUCGAAACCCUGGGAAUGGGAUAGCGAUUGAGUUCGCAACUCCUAAGAUUGCCAAUGGUGAGAUUGAAAUCGAGAUAGAAGAAGCUGACAUAGAGACUAAGGUAAAGUUUUGGGACUCUGCACUAAUAAUGUAUGUCAUAGGUGGUGAAGUGGGAAUGAAUGUUGUUAAGCAGUUUAUGAUGACGAAGUGGAACUUUGUAAAGCUUCCUGACAUGUACUAUAAGGAUGAACGUUACUUAAUUUUGAGGUUUCACUCCCAUCUUGAUAGGGUUGCAGUGAUGUUGAGGGGCCCGUAUACUAUCAUCAAUAUGCCUAUGUUGUUGAGGGAAUGGAAAACAAAUUUCAACCUCAAGAAUGAUAUGUUGUGAAACCUCCCAAUCUAGGUGAAAUUUCCUCAAAUCCCUCUCCAUUUUAGUGGAGGUAGACUUCACCCAAAAACUAACAAAUGAAAUCACCAUCAAAUAUGCAUAAGGGCGCAAAAUGAAACAACUGGUUGAAUACAAAUAGAAACCCCCUAGUGUGAGAAAUGUCAGAAAGUUGGACACAAUUGUGGAGCUCAAAAGCAGAAACCAACAACAAGAUAAUGGGUCCCAAAAAAUUCUCAACAAACAGUGGUGAAGGAGACUCCUAAGGAAACUAUAGAAAUAGCUACCACUAGUACAACUCAGAUCAUUGGGACUCCUACAAGCAUUGAGAUGGAACAGGUGGAGUGGACCAAGGUUGGCAAAAGUCGAAGAGACAUGGGAAAGAAAGCUAUGUCACCUCAACAAACAGAUUUGAAGCACUAGGAUUGAGAAAAGACUUAGGGUCUGUUUGAAUUACUUCUCAAAAACUGUUUUUUAAUUUUUAAAAAAUAAAAACUAAAAAACUUGUUUGAUAAACUAUUUUUAAAAUAGUAGUUUUAAAAAUUAGAUUUGUUUUUUAGUUUUAAAAACUGAAAGAGUAAAAUUGAUAAAUAUAGUUUCAGUUUUUAAUAUGUAGUUUCAGUUUUCAUUUUCAAUUUUUUUUAAAAAAAAUCCCAAAAAUAAAAAUUUAUGGAAAAAUAUAAAUUUUUAUUAAUGGUAUUUUGAUGAUUUAUUUAUUUAUUUAUAUAUAAUUUCAAAAGGAUAUCAAUAUUGUACGAAGAAUUUUGAGAAGAAAAAAAAUCCAUAAUAAUAAUAAUUAUGAUUUGUAUAAAUGUUUAGCAUAAAGCCAUUACUAAAUCCUAAAUACUAAUGGCGGAUCAUUUUAAUUUUAUUCAUGCAUUCAAGUUCUGUUUUUUUUCUUUAAAUAACUUAAUUCUUUCGAUUUUUUAUAUUUUCAUUAAUGUAAUUAUAUAUAUAUAUAUAAAAAUAUUUUACAUAUACAUCCAACUAAAUUACAUCAAAUAAAUAUACUAAAAAUUAAUCUAAUAAUGUAUCACUAGCAUGUAUUUUGAUUCGAUUAAAAAGUUUUACAUAGUAAGUACAUACAAAUUUACUUAAGAUUAUUUAAAAAAAAGUAUGGCUCAAAAACCUAACUAUAGGAAGGCAUGAAGACAAUAGGCGCCUAGGGGUGGCAAAACAGGCCCGGUCCGCCGGGCAUGCCCGUUUUUCCCGCACCUUAGUGCAGGGCGGGCCAAGGAUUUAGGCCCCCAACAUCUAAUGUGUCCGCCCCGCCCCACCCCGUUCUUUUCCGCAGGCUUUUGUGGGCACGUGCGUUUACAUAAUUUUUUGCAUUUUUAGGCUUAAAGAGUGCAGUGUCCGCGGGCUUUCCCCUUCCCGCCCUCACUUUUUUGUAGGACGGGCCUAAGUUUUAGGCCCACAUCCUCAAUUAUGACCGUCCCGCCCCACCCCGUUUUUUUGCGGGCUUUUGCGGGGCAGACCUAUAUGGGGCGGGCAUGUCCGUUUGCCACCCCUAUAGGCGCCACGUGGACGACAGUAAAGAAGGGCAUCGAGGACCCGAUCCAGAUUUUCAAAUUAUACUCAGUUGAACAUGUUUAGAGGAAAAAUUCUACAAGAGUGUGCUAAGGCCUAGGUAAAGAACGCCAGAGAUAAGAUAUCCCAAUAACGUAAAGUAGUUAGCACAAAUCGAUAGAUCAAAAUUUAAUUAUUAAUUAUAAUAAAAAUAUUUUAAAUAUAUAUUUGUUAAUAAAAGUGUUCUUAAAAAUUAGACUACCAAAUAGAUUUUUUAUUUUCUCAUCUCUAGAACUGUUUUUGAAAAUUAACUUAUCAAAUGAAUUUUUUAUUUUCUCAUUUCUACAAUAGUUUUGAAAAGUUAAAUUAUCAAACAAAUUUUUUAUUUAUUCUCUUCUUAAAAAGAAUUUUCUAAAACAAUUUUAUAAAAUAAUUUUUAAAAAGUAAAAAGCAAAACUCAUUCAAACGAGCUCUUAUUGUUUCAUGAAGAUGUCUCGUGAUUAUUGCUUGGAAUGUGAGGGGGCUCAAUAAAUCAGGUAAUAUUAGGGAGACUAGAGUGAAAAGUAAUAAGGCUGAGGCUAUUAGAGGCAAAUUGAACAUGAGAGGUAAUUACUUGGAUUACUAUAACAAGGAUGACAACGGUAGGAUUUGGGUGUUUUGGAAAGACAACAACGUUAUCAUCAAGAUGAUCAAGAGCACUGACCAAAUGAUACACUGUGGGAUCUUUGAGUUAAAUUAGGACUUAAGCUAUUAGAUGAUUGCUAUAUAUGCCUUGAAUCAAUUAGAUCAGAUAAAGAAUCUUUGGAAAGACAUUGAAGAUAUUAACUGCAAACAAAAGGGUUCAUGGUUCUUAUUGGGAGACUUCAACAAUGAUUUGAUAUCUCAAGACAUGAUUGGGGGGAAUAUGGCAACUGAAAAAGGAGUACAUUGACCUGAUAAGAAUGAUGGAACAAAUUGGAUUAUAUGAAAUGGGCAGCAGUGGGGACUAUUUGGUCUAACAAACAAAGUGAGAAUUUUAUCUAUUUCAGAAUUGACAGAGUGCUAGGUAAUUUGGAAUGGCUUCAGGAUCAUAGUGACUAUGAUGUCACUGUUAUCCACCCUAGUGUGUCUGAUCAUGCCAUGCUUUGCUUGAAAAGGUAUGAUAUUCUUUGGAAAAUAAUAGGAAAAUAAAUAGUUUCAAGUUUAUUAUCAAUGUUGCUGAUUUUGAGGGCUUUUUUAGUGUUGUUGAGAGAAGUAGGAAUGCCCCCUAUUAAUGGUAUGCCAAUGUAUAUUCUUUGGAAAAAACUGCAAAGAUUACAACCUGUUCUUAAUGCUAUGAGUAAGCUUAUUACUGAUGUGAAGCUGAAUAUUAUGAAAGCUAGGGAAAACUUGCAAACAACCUAGUUGAAUCUUUGCAAUGACAAAAUGAAUAUGACCAAGAUUGAUCUGGUAAAGAAACAUACUGAGGAGCUUAUUAACUUGAAGGAGAUGGAGGAAAAUGUGCUUAAACAAAGGCUAAAUUGGAUUGGCUAAAACUAGGGGAUGGAAAUAAUAAGUAUUUCCAUGCCUCCAUUAAAGCUAGACACAAGAAGAAAAGUAUGAAUACUCUACAAAAGAAUGAUGUUACUCUUCUAACUACUCAAAAUGAUAUUCAAAGGGAGGUGUUGGAUUUCUAUACUAAUCUGAUGGAUACAACUGACAUUUUAUUGGAUGGCAUUGACAUUAAUGCCAUGAGAAAUGCCCCCCAAUUGAAUAAUGAUCAUAGGGAAAUGCUUAUUGCUCUAGUUUCUGAUUAGGAGAUUGUCAAGGCUCUUAAAGGUAUUGGUGAUCUGAAGUCUCCAGGGUUGGAUGGGUAUGGGGAUUACUUAUUUAAGAAAGAUUGGCAAGUAGUGAAGACUGAUAUGAUAAAUGGUGUCCAAGACUAUUUUAUUAAUGGUAGAAUCUACAAAGCUUUUAACUGCACCUUGGUGAACAUCAUCCCUAAGAGUAUGGAGGCAAAAAUUAUUAGGGAUUAUAGACCUAUUUCCUGUUGUAUCACCAUCUAUAAGAUUAUCUCCAAAGUUCUAACUUCUAGAAUGAGUAAUAUUUUGGAGAGUAUUGUUGAUAAGAACCAGGCUGCAUUUGUCCCAUGCUAAGAUAUUCACAACCAUAUCCUUUUGUCUUAUGAGCUUAUUAAGGGCUACACUAGGAAGGGAGGUACUCCUAGAUGUAUGAUGCAGGUGGCCAUUCAAAAAACCUAUGAUUAGUUGAUUGGAAUGUUAUGGAGUGUAUUCUUAAUGAUAUUAGGUUCCUUAGACUGUUCACUAAUUAGAUUAUGCUUGUUGUUUCUUCUGUCUCUUACAAGUUCAAUGUCAAUGGAGAUUACUUAGGCAUUAUGCUGGCUAAAAGAGGGUUGAGGUAGGGUGAUCCCAUCUCACCUUUGCUCUUUAUCAUUGUCAUCGAUUACUUGAACAUAAUUUUACAUAAAAUGCAGAGGAACAACAACUUCAAUUUCCAUGCCAAAUGUGAAAAACUAGGCCUUGCCAACCUUUGCUUUGUUGAUGACCUACUGUUGUUUUCUAGAGGGGGCAUUAUGUCAGUUGAAAUUAUGAUGAAGUCUUUCAAGAGCUUUUCUAACUGUACUGGACUCAGAUCCAACCCUAUAAAAUGCCACGUCUAUUUUGGUGGGGUGGAGCACAACACUAGAGAUAACAUUAUGCAUAUUAGAUCCUUUAAAGAAUGAGUCUUUCCCUUCUUGUAUUUGGGUGUGCCUAUGACAGGUAAGAAACUCACACUUCAUCACUAUAUGAAUCUUAAUGAUAGAAUAUUAGGGAGAAUAACACAUUGGAGUGCUAGCUUGUUGAAUUAUGCUAGAAGAAUUCAACUCCUGAAAAGUGUCACCUUUGAUGUUAUGAACUAUUGGAUGCAGUGUUUCCCUUUCCCCAAGUUUGUGAUUCAUAAAAUAGAUGCAAUUUUUAGAACUUUCAUGUGGACAGGUGGUACUGAAUUGAGUAGGAAAUCCCAUAUUGCAUGGAAGUCUGUAUGCAAACCUAAAAGUCAAGGUGGCCUGAACAUGAUUAAUCUCGAAGUUUGGAAUAAAACUAACUUGGUGAGGCUUUUAUGGAAUCUUAAUGGUAAGUCCGAUAGCCUUUGGGUUAAAUGGGCCCAUACGUACCUAUUGCCUGAAACAACAACAUUUGAUGGAUGUCGGAGUGAGGAACAACUCCUCUUAGAUUAUUAAAUCCAUCCUGAAUCAAAGAGACAACAUCCACCACUUGCAGGCUUGGAUUGAGUUGCAGCAAACCUAUAAGUUCAGCAUGAAGAAAAUGUAUAAAGCCCUCCUUGAUGACACUCAAAAUGUUUAUUGGAGAUCUUUAUUUUAUGGGAAUAUGACGCGCCCUAGAGCUCUUUUCACCAUUUGGCUUGCUUUCCAUGAAAGGCUUGCAACAAAGGGCAGACUGUCUAGGUUUGGCAUGACUGAUAGUAUCAAUUGUUAUUUUUGUAAUGCAACAGAAACCCAACACAAUCUUCUCUUUGUUUAUCCUUAAAAGAAGGUCACAUGGGAGAAGAUUCUUGACCGGGUUCAAAUGCAGCAUACUCCUGCUGAUUGGAGGAACAAGAUUAGUUGGAUUAUCCGACGUAGCAAAGGCAAAGGAUAUAAAGUUGCCACUCUAAAACUUGCAGCAACAAAAACUAUCUAUGCAGUUUGGCGCUACAGGAAUGAUAAAUUUUUUGGUAAUGAUGUGAGUAAUACUAAUAGAGUAGACAUCAUCAUCUAUACGAUUGUGGUUGUUUCUUGAUAUUUGUCAUGGUUAAUUUGUAGGCGGGAUUUAUGCAAUCACCUUGUACAUAUCAUUUUUGAAUUAAUCCAAGUCUUGAUUAAAAAAAUGUAAUAAAACAUUUUAUUAUUUUCUUUACUAAAUUUGAUAACAAUAAAAACCAUAAGAUAUUUAAAAAAAAACUUAAAAAUAGGCCGUUGAGAAUUGAUGAUACAAAAAGUUAAUUCAAGUUGUUGUUGUUAGUGGUGGUCGUGUUGUUGUUGUUGCUGUUGUUAUUGUUGUUGCUGUUGCUAUUGUUGUUACUAUUGUUGCUAUUGAUGUUGUUGUUAUUAUUAUUAUUAUUAUUAUUAUUAUUAUUAUUAUUAUUAUUAUUUAUAAUAAUAUUAUUAUCAAUGAAAUUUAAAAUGAUUUUGUAUUAUUAAAAACACAAAUAACAUAUAUGUUGUAGCAAUUUAGUCUUUAAGUUCACCAUUUAGUAUAUUUGAGAUAGUAUUCUUAUAAAAGUACAUUAUGUUAAUAUUUUUUUAAGGAUAACUGCGUCUAUAAACAUACUUAUAUUAUUAAAAUGAAUUCAAAGUGCCUACACAAUAGUUUCAUGUUAUUGUUAGCCUCACAAUUGUUAAUUUAUUAUCUAUUAUAAAAUAUUAAUUCUUAAUUAUGAUAUAGUUUAUUGAUAACUUAUAUGUUUCAUGCUAUAUCAAUUUAUAAAAUCUGAUGUGAUAUUAUUUAAAAAAAUUUAAUUUAUAAAAUCUGAUGUGGUACUAUUCAAAAAAAAUUAAUAUUUAUAUUUUUAAUAUCUAUCUUAACAUAAUAUGUAACAUUUUAUUUAUAAUUAUUUUUCAAAACACAAUUAUUUAUAUUCUACCUAUCAUUUUUCUAAAUUAUAAACUCAAUACAAAAUAAAUAGCAUAAAUGGUUAUAUAGAAUAUGUAACAUUCCAUUUAAAAAAUAAUUAUAAAUGAAACGUUCCAUAUUAUGUUAAGAUAGAUAUUAAAAUUUUUAUUUUACAACAACAUUAUAAUUAUAUAAAUACUCAAAUCAUAAUCCAAUCCAUAAAAAUUCAUUCAACCAUCAUUCUCACUAUUUUUUUAAAUUAUAAAUUCAAUACAAAAUAAAUAGCAUGGAAAAUUAUAUAGAACGUGAGUGGUUUGAACGUGGAACAUCUUUAUCCACAAAAUAAUAAAGAAUAAACAUUCUUAGAGAUAUUGAAGUUCUUUUACACUUAUUUACAUUUUAAAAUAAAUUUCUAAUGUUUUAUUUGCAUUUCUACUAUUCAAACAUAUUUUCUUACACUUAAAGUUUUACUCUCUCUUUUUAUCAUCUUCAACUUAUAUCUUUUUUACAAAAAAUUUAAUAAUAAAUAAGAUCACAAAUUUAUUAAUAAUAUAUAAAAUUAAAAUUUAUAUUUUAUAAUAUUAUUUUAAAAAAUUAUCUCAACUCCAGCCCAUCGCGCAAGUCUCAUUCAUUCUAGUUAUUUUAUUAUUAGUGUAACAUCAAAGACGUGUAAAAUACAAUCAUUGUUAUAUAUGGCAAAACCUUAUGUCUACAAAUAUGCAUUUCAUCAGAAAAAUGUCUACACGUAUGUAAGCUGAACCAAAAGUUAAUAAUAUAAUAGAGGAUAAUUAAGUCUAUAAACAUAGUUAAAUUAAUAAAAUUGAAUUAAAAUACCAAUAUAAAUAGAUCUAUGUAGCUUCAUGCUUCUUCACAAGCCAAACAAAGAAAGAGAGAGAGAGAAAGUAAGAAAGAGAAAAAGAGUUAGAAUGGAGUUGAUGAAUAAGAAGGCAAUGAUGAAGUUAGCUCUAAUGGUUUUCCUCUUGAGCUUCGCCGCAAAUGUUGUUAACGCUCGUUUCGAUUCAACUUCCUUCAUAACUCAAGUGCUCUCCAAGUCUUAGUUUAAGUUAUUACAGAGUAUUUAAUAUACACAUAAAUAUAGAAGUUUAUUAUAUAUAUAUAUAUAUAUACUUUAGUUAUUUCAAGAAGGACAAGACAAUAUUAGCAGAGAAAGUUAUAAAUGAAGUCCACACUAUUAAUACGUAGUCGCUAAUCUUCCACCUGUCCUCUCUUAAUCUUAAAUGAUAGAGAUAAAUAAAGUUCGAUUCACGAUAAAGAUGGUAUUUUAAUAAUGGUCUUUACUUGGUGGAGCUUACUAAUUCUUCCUCCCUCUUUUACCUGUUUAAAAUUUGACCAUUUUCCUUCAUCCGUUAGUUGAACUUUUUUGAAGGUAGUGAUUUUUCCUUUGCAAUUUUUUGCAAGAAAGGUUUUCUUUUAGAGAAAAUAUAUUUAAGUGGAGGGUGAUUGUCGAUCCAGUUGGAGUCUCUUGUCUUUUGUCUGGGAGAAAAUAAUAAAAAAUUGAAUUUGGAAUAUUUCAGUACAAUUCUUUAUAUCUAUUCCGAUGUAAUUUGGAAUGUUAAUAAAUUCUCUUUCUCUCCGAGCAUAUUUUUAUAUAUAUAUAUAUAUAUAUAUAUAUAUAUAUAUUCAACUAUACAUGCGUCAAUUGUAAUGGCGCAUACUCUUACAUUUUAUAUACAUGCGCCAUUACAAUUGCCGCAUGCUCUUACAUUUUAUAUACACGCGUCAAUUGCAAUGACGCAUGCUCUUACAUUUUAUAUGCAUGCGCCAAUUGCAGUGGCGCAUGAGUAUAAAUUGAUUAAUGCAUGCGCUAUAACAUAUGACACAUUAGUUCAUUUAAAAAAAAAUGAUUACAUUGAUAAAUACUUUAAAAUUAUGACUAUUUUCGUAUUAUUUUUGAAAAUAAUAAUUAUUUAAAAUAAAAUCCGAAGUUAUCAUAUAUUCUCUUUAUAUAGUGUUUGCUUUAAUAAUCAAAAGUUAUAUAAAUAAUGUAUUUUUUUUAUUUUACUAUCUUUUAUUCUUUCUACGUCUUCUUUAAUCUGCCGUCCUUACUAUAUUCUUAAUUUCAUUCUUUAUUUUUUUCUUUUUCAGGUAGGGAUGUUCGCGGUGCGGUUUGCGCGGGUUUUGCGAUAAAAAUCACCCGAACCGCAAGAGAAAAAACAUGCGGUUCGGUUUGGUUCGAAUGAAUUUUAGAAAUAAAACCAAACCAAACCAAACCAAAUUAAUGCGGUUUGGGUUGGUUCAGUUGAUUCGGUUUUUUAUAAUAUUUUUAUUGAGCCAUAUAUACUCCUAUAAAUAACGACAUAACUUUGUGUUUAGUCAUUCAUAUAUUACUAAAUAACAUCAAAAUUCAUCAUAUUUAGACAAAAACGUUUCAUAUAUACUCCUAUAAAUAACGACAUAACUUUGUGUUUAGUCAUUCAUAUAUUACUAAAUAACAUCAAAAUUCAUCAUAUUUAGACAAAAACGUUUCAUUCAAUAUACAAAAAACCAGAUUAGGCAAAGUGGAAUAAAUGACAAAUAUAAAUAGUAGCAUAAAAUAAUAUCAAAGACAUUAUAAUAAAACAUAAAAAAAACAUAUGAGAUGAGAGAUUAGAGAAGAUGAAAAAAAGAACAUAAGAGAUGUGAGAUUGAGAAGAAAAGUGCAAUAAAAAUGUAAUUGGAAGAGAAAAUAGUAACAUAAAAGAUAAAAAAGAAAGAACAUAAUAAAGGACUUAUUAGAGUAGAAUAGGCGAGACCUACAUGGAAAAUAAGAUGAGAAGAAUGUAUGAUACUACUAUGAUAGAUUUAAGAAGGUUGAAAUUGAAACCCUAAGUGUGAUUAAGAGAAAAUCGUUUGUAAUGGUAAGGUUAAGACAUAUUAGGUUUGAGGUUUGGGUUAGAUGUGGGAUAAGUGAACUUUGGGUUGUAACAUAAUGCGGUUUGGUUUGGUUUAGUUCGGUUUGCAAAAUACAAACCGCAAACCAAACCAAACCGUACGGUUUUAUUAAAAGAUGAUCCAAACGAAUCCGAACCAAAUACGGUUUUUUGCGGUUUCAGUUUGAUUUGGUUUGGUUUGGUUUGCGGUUUUCUAUUGGGUUGGUUUGGUUUUGAACACCCCUAUCUCCAGGUGUUGCAUAAUGCGGAGGGAUUAAAGCCGAUGAAUAUAUAUUAGGAAUCACUUAAUUUUUUUUACUCCAACAUUGUUAAUUAUUUGUUUCGUUUAAUCUAUAAUCUUCUAUUAUCCUUGAGUACCUAAUGUGUGCUUUAGAUAUGGUCUUUUUAUCCUUCACAUCAAUAGUCAUAGUAAUUAAUUUUGAGGUUAUGACUAAAAAAUAAUUCUAAUUAAUUUUGCUUUAUUUAAUUUUUUUUAAUUUGACAUAUUAAAAUUUCUUUGUGAAUACAGGACUUUUGAAUUUUUUUAUUUGAGACACAACUAAUUUUCAGUCAAUGCAUAUAAAUCAGACACACAUAAUUAUAUUGACUCUUUUUAUACAAUUUGAUGGAGCGAUCAUGAUAGACGUGCGGCUGUGCAUUGUUAGUUGCACUCUUUCACCUUCAUUUUCAUUUUUUCCAUUUUAUAUCAUUUGCUUCCUUCUUCCAUGUUUUUAAUUUUUUAAAUUUUGUUUAAGUGUUAGUAAAUAUUAUUUUUGUUAACUCAAUUUAAAUUUAAUCUAUACAUAAAUUAUUUUAAGUGGUGUGUAUGCUUUUAUUUUCAAUGCCAAAAUUACUGAUUAAUUAAAUUUGGAAAGUUCCUCUUAUUCUAAAUUAAAAAUAUUCAAAUAUUUUAAAUAUAUUUCUUUAAUGAUAUGAUAUUUUGUCAUGUAUAUGUAGUUUUUUAAAUCUUAAGAACGUAUUGACAAAUAAAUAUAUGAAGAAUUGAUUCGAAUCUUUAUAAAAUAGAAAAAAUUAUAUUACAUUAUUUAUUAUUUAUUUUAUUUUAUUUUUUUAAAAAAAAUCUAAUUUAAAAGUCUUAUAUUUUUUUCUUUACUACGAAAAACAAUCAUAAGGAAAUAAAUAACUUGCAUUGCUUCCUGUUGUGCCGAAAUAUUAAAAUCUAAUUUGCAAUUGCUAUAAAGUAUCAUAUAAAUGGUAUAUUGUUCUUUCCUUAACAAUGGAAUGCGGUACAAUGCUUAUUGAUUUUGCAAUUAUUGUACACUAUCUAUAUAUAAAAUGCAUAUUGGUUUGACAUUUUUUUACGGACAUAUUCAUGAGGAAGGAAAAAUACAACAUGUAAGUGUUCUUUUCAAAGACAGUGUUGGUAUGAACAUGAAUCAAUUAAAAAAAAACAAUAUUAGUGAUUUGAUUGUAAAGUUCUCUUCCUUUUGUUUAUUAUCUAAAGUUAAUUUGCAUAAAUGAUAAUAAUUGUGUAGCGUUCGGUAAAUCGAUAAAUCGAUUGAAGGAUAAAUUAUUUUUUUUUUAAAUUUAAAAUAUGAAUUUGUUAGUUCCUAAAGUAGUCAAAUUAAAUUUUGAAAUUUUAAUUUAUACAACUCUGAUUGGAAUAAAUAAUAUUAUUGUAAUAUAGAAUUUAAUUUAUUUGUCAAAUUUUGAAUAAAGUAUUAUAUUUAUAUUUUAAAAUUAUUUAUUAAAGUAGAGUUUUUAAUCAUCAAAGUGACCAAUUCAUAAAAGUUUAUAAUUUUAAAAAUUUACAAAUAAGUUUCGAUUAUGAACUUCAAUCUAUUAUUUAAUUUUGAAAUGAAAAGUUUAUUAUUUAAUUUAAAAUUAUUUGAGUUAGAAAUUUGUUAAUUAAAAUGGUCAAAUUAAUUUUAUGAUUCUAAAUUAUGCAAUUGAAGUUGAUUUGGAUGCUAUGUGUAGAGCUGUCAAAAUGGGAUAAAGCCCAUGAGCCGGUCCAUCGAGCCCGAAAAAAUUUUGGGUUUGGACCUUAUUUUUGGAGCCCAUAUAUUUUCGGGCCUUUUUUGGUCUGGCUCGAAAAAGCCAUAAAAAAUGGGACGGCUCGUAUGAGCUAUGGGUAGCCCAGCAACCUCAAAUAAUUUUUUUUGAAAAAUAAUUAACUUAUUUAGCACAUGAAUUUAGUCCACCUAUUAAUAUUCAAUUAUUCAACAAAUUCAUUAGUAAAUGUAAUUACACUGUAUUCAAUUACUUAGCCCAUUAAUAAUUGCACUUAUUCAAUUAUUAUUUAGUAAAUGUAAGUUUGAGAUCCAAACAACACCAUAGCAUACCUAUUAGAUGUUUUUGAAUUUGAUUUUGUACGCAUUUGACGACAUCUAUAUUUAGUUAUGAUGUUUUCAUAUUCAUUAUAUUAUUAUAAUAUUUUUCUUUCUUUAUUCAUGAUUUUACUACCAAAAUUUUUGGUGUUUUUAAAUGGUAUGAAAUGUGCUAAAGUUUUUUUAAUUAUGCAAAUAAUAGUUUUUUAUUUUAAUUGGCUUUUUUACGUGUUUUUGCAACAUUGCAGGACUCACAAUAAAAUAAAACUAAUUCUGAAAUAGUUUGAAAUUCAUUCGAUAAUUAAUUAGUUGAAUUUCAUUCAUAAGACAAAUUAAGUUUUGACCUAAACCUUUCGUAACUAAAUGAGUUAAUUGGUAAUAAAUAUGUAGUCUUGAACUGGGAAAAAAAACUUUUAAUUUAUGUGAGCAUGUAAUCUUUAGUGUCUUGAAGUCAUUUAUUUGUAAACUCAAAAUGAUUUUAGUAAUAGAAUAAAAACAAUUUAAAAAAAAGGAUAAUAUGAUUAUUUACAAAAUAAGGAGUUUUUUUUUAAAUGGGUCCAUUUAUGAUCGGGCCCGUUUAGGACCGGGUAGCCCGCAGGCCAGACAGGGAUGUCUGGGUAGUAAAAUUGGAGCCCAUAUUCAAUAUGGGAUUUUUAGGCCUGACCCGAAAAAACCCGAGACCCACCAGGGACAGCCUGUUUAGGACCGGGUAGCCCAUUUUGACAACUCUAGUUAUGUGUUUAAUAAAAUUUAUUAUUAUUAUAAAAUAUAAAGAAAUUAAAGUAUUUUUUUACACACUUGUUCUUGUAUAUCCAAAGAUAUACAUUCAUGUUUUAAGUGAUUUUAUUGUCCAUUAAAGUCUGUUUAUUUAGCAUCAUUAGAAUUUUUUAAAAUGUAUUUAAGUUUUAUUUAAAGGUAGACUUUUAUACUUGUUUAAAGAUGAUUAGUUUGAAUCCAUGAAAUUUAUUCAAAACAUAUUAAUGUAUGAGCAUGUUUUAAUGCUUGUGGUUAAUAGAAAUGUGUUACGGGCUUGAACAUUAUAUUGAUAAUGGAUGAAAAGCCUAUGGCGAUUACGGAGGACACUACAUAAGAGAAAUGUCUCUCUUUGAGAGUUAGGAAAUGUCCAACCGACUAUCUUUGAACUUAAUGGAAAAGGACAAUUCGUAAAGUUUCUCGAAAGUCGUGGUAAAUAUAAACUAUAUACUAUGCAUGACAAACCCCAACAAAACGGUGUUGUUUAAAAGCCGAAUGUACUCUCAUGGAAAUGAUCAGGUCAAUUUUAAAUAUAGCAAGGUAUUAUUAUCAUUGUGGACAUACGCAUUAAGGACCGUUGCAUAUUUGCUUUAAUAGGAUUCCUAACAAGAUAGUUCUUAAAACUCCUUAUGAAUUGUAGACAUGAAGAAAACCUAGUUUAAAGUAUCUUCAUGUUUUGGGCUAUCAAGGAAAAGUAAACAUGUAUAACCCAUAUGAAAAAGUAUAACUUUAUUGUCCUAAUCGUAGUAUGAGAAUAAUGGAAUAUGGUAAUUAUCAAUUUAUUGAAUAUGGUAAGUUCAGUGGGAGUGAGGAAUCAUAUAAAAUGGAUAUUAUGGAGACUUAUGGAACAUCUUCUUCACCUAAAGAAUCUCUCUAUGUUGGUGUCCAUCUAGUUGUAUUAUCGUUAUACAACACAAAGAAACAACAUAUAAUUAUUCACUUGAGCAUGAAUGUGACUUGAGCAUUGAUAAGGAUUCAGUCUCAUUCACACUAGCCAUAGAAAACUGCAAAGAAGGUUCUUAGGUACUUACAAGACACUAAAGAUUACAUGCUCACAUAUAGAAGGUCAGACCAACUUGAAAUAGUUGACUACUCGGAUUUAAAAUUUGUGAGAUGUGUGGACUCAAGAAAAUCCACAUUUAGAUAUGUUUUUCUUCUAACCGGAUGAGUAAUAUCACGAAGACCGUAAAAUAACCUAUAAUUGCUAUUUCUACUAUGAAGGAAAAAUUCAUGGCAUGCUUUGAAGCCACAAUUCAACCACUGUGGUUUUGGAAUUUACCCUUACGGCUUGGUAUUAUCGACAAUAUAGUUAGGCCACUAAGGAUUUAUUGAUAAUUCAAUAGCUAUCUUCUUCUUUAAGAAUGAUAAGCAUUUAACGGAUGUUAAAUACAUGAAAUUGAAGUACUUAUUAGUGAAAGAAAAAGUGCAGAAACAAAAAGUAUCAUUUGAAUACAUUGGUAAAGAUUUAAUGAUAGCGGAUCAGUUAACCAAAAGUUUACCGUCCAAGACAUUCCAUGUAGAAAAGAUAGGCAUUAUGUAAAAGUCAUUCUUAACAUUAUAAUAUAAUCGUUAUAUAUACAUGUAUAAUUUAAUGUCAUAUUGUAUGACACUUGUGAAUUCAAUUAAGAAUAUAUUUCUACUUAGUUUGUUAUCCAUAUUAUAUUUUAUACAUUAUUGUUAAUAUGUGAUGACAAAUGUGCCUUUGAAGAGACAUGAAAGAUACAUAAUUGUAUCCCUUAAAUAUUUAAAUUGGAUUGAUUUGUGAUACAUGGAAGAAAUCAAGUUGAUGAAUGACUUGUGACCGCCAUGAUUCGAUCAUUUCAAUUUAUUAAAGAUAAUGACUUGGUGCUUCUAAUAAAUGAUGAACAAUUAUGGUAUAAAAUCGAAAUAUCAAGUUGUCACAUGAGUCAAGUGGGAGAUUGUUGGAUUAAUUUGUUAAUCCAUUAAAUAUGACUCAUGUAAAUUAAAGAUUGAUUUAAAUAAAAGAUGAUUGUUUAGGUUGAUGGAUAAUUAAAUCAAUUGAGUUUUUUUUAGUUUCAAAAUAAAAUUUAAAUCUCUGUUCUCUCUUCAUGACUAUUGGGACAUGUCUGUUGCAAUAAGAUGUGACCGUUAUAAUAAGAUGCCUAUAAAUAGGCACCAUUAGGAAAGCAACACAAACGGUUCUCAUUAUUUCUGAUUAUCUAUAAAAUAAUAAGAGAAAAUAUAUUAAUCAUCAAAGAUACAUAAAAGAAGAAGGAAGAGAGGAGAAAAUAAUUCGGAUCAAGAAUCAAGAACUGGACAAGAACCGGCGUCAUAAAUCUGGGUAUGUCUUUUUUUAAUGUUUUUCAUAGAAAUUAGAGCACCGUAAAAAUCAUAAUAUCAAGAUUCUAAAUAUGAAAUUUUCUAACAAUUUUUCCAUGAUUCGGAACGUUGUUGUUUGAACUAUUUGAAGUGUUCCAAAUGAUAUUAUUUCUUUGGUUCCUAAACAAAAUUUGAACGAAGUUAAGGGAAAACAAUUAUUUUUCUAUCUUAAAAAUGGUUCUUAGUUAGAUCACCGGAGAACUCGUGUAUUAUCUCUUAUUGAUUUCAGAAUAUUGUCUUCUUCCUUAAUCAGUAACAGAUCAAGAAUUUUGUGGUUUUGAUGCUUCACUUGAAAAUCACUGUUCUAUUAAUAGUGGUUUUUAUGACUUGAAUUCUAGCUUCUCUUUAUUAAAAGAUGAGGCUUUUAUAAUUGUUUGAGGAUUCUCUCUUGUGUAGUAUUUGUAUUGGCUUUUUAGCUUCUUUUUUUUGUUGUUUAUGUAGGCUAUUUUGUUGCUUAUUUGUUUUUAGAAUGAUAAAUUUGGCAUAUAUUAAGCUAUGAAUACCUUUUAUUUAUAUUUUGUUGGGUUAUUUAUCUAACACUUAUUAUUAAUAUAUUAAAUUUAAAUGUAUUUUUGGUCUCCGUUGAUAUUUUAAUUUUUUUUAGUCUUGUAAUUUAGAAUUAAAUUUAGCUUUUUGGUCUUUUUUUUUUACAAUUCUUGCAAUUUUUUUAAUGUAGCGCCACCUAAGCCAAAUAUGUCAUGUCAUAGUAUCUAUAUGUACCUCAUCAUGUAAUAAGAUAUUAUUUAAAUCAAAUUGAUGUAAAUGUCAUAUUGAUGCAAAAGCUAUGGAAGGUAUGAUUAUACUGAAUUUUGCAAUAGGUGAAUGAGUGUCAGAGUAAUUCAAUCCAUUUAUCUGACUAUAGCCUUUGACAACUAACUUUGACUUGAAUCUGUCGAUGCUCCAAUGUAAAUUAUGCUUAAUUUUAUAGAUCUAUCUGCAGUCUGGUUUAAUGUUAGGUGGAGGGUCAAUAAUUUCCCAAGAGCUCAUUUUGUCAAGAGCAUCAAGCUCAUGAGAGUCGACCAAAAGCAUAUGCUAGAAAGCCAAAAGCGAAACAUGCACAGCCUUACCAUCUUUUUAACCUAUAUAUCCCAUUAUACCACUCUUUGAAAAAAAUACCAAAAUACCAUGUUUUGAGAAAUCUUCAACACACAGCCGCCAAUCCAUUGGGCGGUUGAGUGUAAAAAAUUAAUGGACCGCCCAUUCAUUUGGAGCCUGUGUUGAAAACGUAAUUUUUUUUUCCAAAACCAACAUUAUAUGUAAUAUAUUAAUAUUUAGUAUUAUUACAUUAUUAAUUAAAUUAUUAUUGAUUUUAUAUUAAUGAUUUUGAUUUUUCAGUAAUCAACAUUAUUAUUAAAAUUAAUUAUUAUUAAUGAUUUUGUAAAAUUAAUUAUUAUUAAUAAAUUUUGUAGAUAAAAUAAUUGUUUAAUUUAUAACAAAUAAUGAUAUAUGUUACAAUUAAUAGUGAUUUAAUAUAAAUUUAUUAUUAUAAAUUAUACAUAAUAAUUUUUUAGUAAAAUAAAAUAUUAUUAAUAAGUGGGUUAGAUAAAAUAUUGUUUAAAUUAAUAAAUAUAAUAUAAUUUAUAAUUAAUUUUGAUUUAGUAUAAGUUUAUAUUAAUAAAUAUUGUAUAAACUUAUAUAAACUUAUAAGAAAUAUUAAUUAGUAAAAUUUAAGAAUUAUUUAAUUUAGUUAAAAAUUAUUUCUUAUAAAUUAAAGUUGUAGGUAUAAAUAUUUAUUUUAAAUAUAUAAAAUAAGUAAAUUGCAUAUAAAUUAGAAAAAUGAUAAAAAUAAAUACAAGGAUUUUUAUUUAUUGAAAUAAUAACAAGAAACAGGUCAACCUACAAGGUGUUGGUGUGAUUGCGGAAAGUUUCAAGCUUUUCGAGUUCCUUGUUCCCAUGUUAUCGGCGUGUUCAAGAUACACCAGGACGCAUACGGUCUUCUGUCCACCGUUGUUACCAAGGUUUCAAACCUAUUUGGGGUUUACAGUAAUAGUUCCCAGUGCUGCCAUUACGAGUGCUAUGGGGCCUACGGUUUUUGAAGGAAUGCACGAUGCCAUAAUCGGUUUAGCCGAGAAAGGGAACAGAACGCCACCGGACAGGAGCAAGGAAGAAGGAAAGAAAAAGGAAGAGUGGGGGGGGUGGCAGCGCGCAGCCGGGACCACGGAUAGAGGCGAUACCGCAAACAAAAGAGAAAAAAAACACAGAAAAAAAAAAAAAAAAAAAAAAAAAAAAAACAAAAACAAAACCAUUUCCUCUAAACUGCCUCAAUUAAAAUUCCAAUUCCUUAACAUUAACUAGACAGAUGUAAUUGAUGUUCCGACUCAAUGCCAUCAGCCACAUACGUUUGCUUUGACCCGGAUGGUAAUUCAGAACCAAAGUCAUAAUCCUUUCAGAAACUCUAACCAUCUUCCUACUGUCGCAUAUUCAGCUUCUUCUGAUCAAAACAAAUCACUUUAAACUUUUAUGGUCACGUGAAAAACCUCAAAUCUUGACCCGUACAAGUAAUAGCCUCCAUAACUUCGAAAAAAUACCACAGCUGCCAACUCUAAAUCGUGUGUCGGAUAGUUCCUCUCAUGAACCUCAGUUGUCUCGUAAGCAUAAGCUACAACCUGCUUAUUCUGCACCAUAAAACACCACCCAAACCAAAAAUGAAGCAAUCACAGUAAACCUCAAAUGGUCUCUGAUGGACUUGGUAUAUCAGAAUAGGAAGCAGUAGUUAACUUCUUCUUUAACUCGUUGGAAACCUUCUUACAUAUUUUGAGUUCCCAAAACAAACGCUUGCCCCUUUCUAUCGUCAACAUCAGUCAACGGUAACGCCAAGCUUAGGGGAAAAUCCUCAAUGAAGUUUCCUAUAAUAACCUACAAGUCAAAGAGAAAAACUUCCUGUAUCAUCAAAAUCUGACUUCGGAGCUUCCCACUUCGAUUACCGCUUCUAUCUUAGAAGGCAUCAACAACAAUACCACCUCUGAAUUCGCAUACAAGAAAAGAACCUCUUCUAACCAAAAUGUCACAACUUGGACAGUUUAGCAAAUAACUUCAUUUUUCUCGUAGAACUCCUUAAAACCACUCUCAAAUGUUCAGCAUGCUCUUCCUCAGACUUUCGAAUACACCAACAAUAUCGUCAAUAAACACCACAACAAAACUUUGUCUAGCGUACGAGAUGGAAAAUCCUAUUCAUAUACUCCAUGAAUACUGCCAGGCGCAUUUAGUCACCCCAAAAAAGGCAUUACAGCAAUACUCAUAUGUCGCAUACCUUGUUCUGAAAGUAGUCUUUUUGAUAUAUCCUCAGUUUUCACACGUAUCUGGAUGAGUACCCUGAUUUCUCAAAAUCUAUUUGCUGAAACACACUCGCACCAACCAACCGGAUCCAUCAAAUCAUCACCAGUCGGGCAAAGGCGGAUACGCUCUUUGAUCGUCAACUUUAUUCAGCUUGACCUGUAGUCCAACACAACCUUCAUAGUACCUUUCUUUCUUCUUAGACCAAUAACACUGGUGCGCCCCACGCGACACAAUCGGACGAAUUAAAUUUCGUUAUCCACAGAUCUUCCAACUGACUUCCGUCAAAUUCAGUUAACUCGACAGCAGACAUACCGUACGAGCCAUUCGACACCGCCUAGUACCAGGUACCAAAUCAGAUCGAGAACUCAACUUCACGCUCUUGCGCGCCGUUUAAUUCAGCACUUCCUUCAGGAAAACACAUCAGGGAAAAUCACACACCACCGGCUAGAUCGCAAAAUCACCAGUGUAUCUUUUUAAGCCGUCUUUAAGUCUCGCUAACAGCAUAACAACUCUGCCCCAUCUACUACUGCCUCAUUCACCUGCCUUGCCUUGAUAGAAACAGAACUCUUUCCCUUCCUCGAAUCUCAGGAAAGAUCACCAGUCUUAGGCAAAAGCCAGUUCGCAUUAUAAAACUCGGUUAAAACAAGCCAAACCAGUUCAUACCCAAGCAUAACAUCAAUCUGCACUACGUGGAAGACACAACGAGCGUCUAUCCCAUAGUCUCUACCAACAAAUACUAAAAGAAAAUACAAUUUAAACAAACUGAAAAAAGAAGUAGUGUCACUGAACCCUUCGCAGGCAGGUAUCAAUCACCAUACUCGCCAUGCAUCCUGCAGAUAUCUCUAAUUUAAUAUUCACGCACAUCCAAAGAUAUAAACGAAUGAGUCGCACCUGUGUCAAUAAUCAGCUACAAGAGGGGAAAGCAUAAUAUGAACACCGUACCUCGGAUCCAAACGCAUUUACAUCUACAGAAGUCUCAGAAACCGAUUGUUUAAAGCAAAAGACCUUGCCUCCUGACUGGUUACCUCUCUCUUCGGCUAGGACACUGUGGACUGAUAUAUGACCCACCUCUCCCACAGUUGCAAAACAAGUCACAGUCUCUCAACGGCACUUGUUGCAAGCCAAGUGGCCACCUUUUCCCACACUUUGAAACACUUCUUUCUCAGUACUGGCUACACUUCGAUGGGAUACGAAUGUCAAGCACUGAACACGUCAUCUGAAAACACUUAGCAGUGGGCAACCUGGAGUCUCCGCCACUAGGCCUCAUUCAUUACCCACUCUGUCUCUCGGUGAAACCUUUACACUUGGCAAUACGGUUUCCCCGAUCAUAUUCUGAUUUCUUCCGGCCCUUCUCCCUUACUUUCGAACCCCUCGCGUUAGAUUCGGCUCCUGCCGCUUUCCUGCGAUCUUUAAGGUGGGUUUCUAAUACAUGAGUGUUACCACCCAAAUUGCAACAUACAUGAUAAAAGUACCUACACCCAUCGGAUAAAAAGUAAGAUAUCCAUAUAAUUUCAAUUAUGCCCCCAAGUUACCUCAAUGAAACUGCGCCCUAUAGGAAUAGCCCUUACCCAACGUUCCUUUGAGCGUACGGCAUGUGUAUUUUAUAUCUCCACUUGAUUAUGCGACUUUAAUAACUCAUUAAUUAGACUGGGAAUCUCCUCACGAGGACGUUAAUUAUAAAAACAAAUCUGUGUCUCACUAAUUCCUUGAAACAAAACUUCACACAUUUUUGAAUAAUUCGAUUGUAACCCAGUGACCUCGAAUCAGGUAGGCGGAGUGGAUAAUAAUCUUUCUGACAGUUCUCCAUGUGACUUCAGCCCAGAGCUACCAUACUUCAAUUUAAAAUAGUAUACUGUACAAGACCUGAUGUGCCUCUGUCUUCAACAUUUGUGUUAAAGAGAGCUCUAUUUUGCUAUUCUUCCUCGUGACAUCGGCUCGAGAAUAGUUAACUUUCCUCCAGAAAUGGCUCUCUCUUGCAAGACACGCGAGUCGACAAGAAUGAGUCUCAAGGCUGAAAAUUGCCAGCAAACUUCCAAUCUCAGUUCGGUGGUAAGCAAAACCCCCGACCAAUUCAAUUCUGCUUCCUCAGGGAACAGUAUUGAAUGUGUACGAACGGCUGCACCUUGCUGACUGUUUCAUCGCACAACUCAGUACACUCGGCGAAGGAUCCUUCUCGAUUCUCUUUCAACCACUUCUUGAGGCACCAUUCGAUGGGAUCUGUAUGCUCCCUUUGAAAUCAUUUGGAGGAUUUGUUCUUCGUGGUAUUAUUAGCUCAUGCUCUAGGUGGUUUGUGGGGGAGCGNNNNNNNNNNNNNNNNNNNNNNNNNNNNNNNNNNNNNNNNNNNNNNNNNNNNNNNNNNNNNNNNNNNNNNNNNNNNNNNNNNNNNNNNNNNNNNNNNNNNAAACAGGGAUUGAAUACCAAGAACCGUAGAAUUUGCACAAUACAGGGAUCCACCAAUGGAAACGUCCACUGGGAUUUGAUAUUUAUUGCUGGGUAUAUAUUUUUUGGUUUUGUUUUUAAAGGGUACAACCACAUCCAGACAUCGCAACGACGAUGAAUGGGGGAAAGAAAUCACAACUAGAUGCCAACGGACAACUAGGAAAAACUCAACAUUUACCAAGACCUACGGAGAGGUAACCAGACAUUAAUGAAUGACUGGAAAGGAUACAACCAUUCGUCGACGGACGAAAUGGGAAAAACUCAACGUUCACCCAGACCAACGGAGAGGCAACCAACUGGGGACGACCAGGAAAAACUCGACGUUUAUCGAAACCAACGGAGAGGUAACCAGACAUUAACUGAUGAAUGGGAGGACUCGACCGGACAUCAACGGAUGAAUGGGAAAACUCGACGUUUACAGACAUCGAAAGAUGAUGUUUACAGACACCAAAAAGAUUGACCAGACAUUUACUGAUGAAUGGGAAUACUCGACGUUUACAGAUAUCGAAAGAUGAUGUUUACAGACACCAAAAAGAUCGACCAGACAUUUACUGAUGAAUGGGAAUACUCGACGUUUACAGACAUCGAAAGAUGAUGUUUACAGACACCAAAAAGAUCGACCAGACAUUUACUGAUGAAUGGGAAUACUCGACGUUUACAGACAUCGAAAGAUGAUGUUUACAGACACCAAAAAGAUCGACCAGACAUUUACUGAUGAAUGGGAAUACUCGACGUUUACAGACAUCGAAAGAUGAUGUUUACAGACACCAAAAAGAUCGACCAGACAUUUACUGAUGAAUGGGAAAACUCGAAAUACAACCAAACGUCAACGGACGAAUGGGAAAAACUCAUCGUUUAUCGAAACCAACGGAGAGGUAAAUCCAUAUGGGGAAUGGUACAACUAGACAUCAUCGGAUGACUAGGAAAAACUCGACGUUUAUCGACACCAACGGAGAGGAGGAAUCUUCACUAGGGAAGGGAGGGCGACGUUAUGAACAUCGAAAGAGGAUGUUUACCGACAUCAAAAGAAGACCAGACACUUACGCAUGACUGGGAAAGCACCGAAAGAUGGUGUUUAACGACACCAAAGAAAUACCAGACGCUUACGCAUGACUGGGAAUCACCGAAAGAUGGUGUUUACCGACACCAAGGAAAACAAAUACACGCGGGUGCUGACGGGAUAUUGAGAUCUACAAGAUGACAAGGCAAGGCUAAACACUUGCAGGGGGUCUCACUGGGGAGAAGCAAGCUUUCCUUUCCAACGGAUGAGGAAAUAAACCUCUGUGGGGAUUAUCAACACCAAAUGUUGACUGGAGCAACUGUAGCAAAUGUGUCGUACAGGUUGAGCGAAAAUCCGCCUCUGCAGGGGAUACGGUCUGAUGGGGUUUCGAACACAUGAAUGCAUAUGUUUGAAUUUUUCUAUGGCGUAAUGCUCCAUUUAUGAAUGGAAAUGCUACGCGAUUUUUGAGGAUGCAAUGAUCACUACAUGCAAAAUGCAACAUGAACCCUGGCUGGGGAGCCAAAAAGGUCAGAUACUCCGACUCUGUGGGGAGACUCUGACUGAGGAAAUACAGACGCCCCUUAAGAAGAACCCCUUACUAUUUCGCUGAAGUCUGGGGGAAGACCCAACCAACCCUCAGAUAGGAUAAACUCUGCUUUGGAGAAUAUCUGUUACUCCGCUGGGGACGACCCACGCAAUCCACAGGUAGCAUCAACUCAGCUGGGGAUGCAGAUAUCGGUCUGCUACGGAAACUCGUCCAAUCCACUGGUAGGAUAAACUCUGCUUGAGAGAUAAAUGUUACUCCACUAGGGACGACCCAGCCAAUCCAUAUGUAGGAGAAUCACUGCUGGAGAUGUAUUUCAUUGAAACCCGCUCCACUCGGGGAACUUGCUGAGGAAAAAAACACACCAUUCUGCUGAGGAGAACGAUCCUAGUGGGGAGAGUAAAAACUCUGUUGGGGAUGAUAACACGUCAUAUCACUGGAGAUGAACCUCUACCAUCCUGCUGGGGAGAAGCACUCACGACCAUGCUGGAGAUAACAGUAUCACAAACCCGACUGCUGGGGAACACACAAACACACACAAGUCUACUGAUAGACUCCGCUGGGGAACUCCCGGGGAAAAUAACUGCCAGGCGCUCAGCGGGGAUUCUCAACUGGGGAAAUCUGCAAGCACAGGCCUGCUGGGGAUAAACAAUCUUUAGAUCUGCUGGGGAAAGAAAGUACUGUCCACAGACAUCUCUGCAGGGGAAAUAACUCUGAUAGCUUCAAUACUGGCUCAGGCUGGGGAAAAUGUCCUCCACCCUGGGAAACAUUCUGCCCCUGACACUCCCACCAGGGACAAGACAACCUUCAGGCUUACUAAGGAGACACCGAUCUCGGAUCUGUCGGGGAGAUCACACUCUCGACCCAUUGGGGGGAGAUACAAUUUGUUUGACAGAGAUGUCGGUUGGCUUGUCGAACACUGGUAUCCAUCAUUUACCCACAGUGUCGAUUUUCCACUUUUAAUAAUCUCCCAGACUCAUCUGGACUUUUUCUGCUCCAUCAUCUUGCAUUCCCAACUCGUCCGUACUUCACGGAGAUCGAACUCCUGAGAUUCAUACCUACUUUCCAAUCAUCAAACUUUGAAGAGUCUUCUUGAUUAUCUUUCCAGGAUCGUCGUCGUAAUCCUUCACCGUCUUUUCACCGCAAGUCUAUUCCUUGCCCCUGAUCAGGUUCUGUGGGGAUCUCUUGCCAAAAGGGUUCACAUUACCACUGGUAAGUGAAUGAAGGUAUCUAACAGUACCUGCACAAGAGAUCGCCAGAUAAAAGCGUGCCCCAGGCAUGCCCCAGGCAUUUCAAUAUUGCAACGCCUAGGUCACUCAAACUUCCGGAUAAGAUUUCCGGAUUUCAAUCUUAUAAGCAUGCAUCGGAAGGGACCUCUAUGUUUCAAAAUGCAAAUAUUCUUAUCAAACUAAACGGAUGUUUUCGUAAUCAAAACGGUAAUGUCACAAAAACAGAAUUUAUUUGACUGAACACACACUUUAUUGACUGAAACAAAAAGGAUAGCUCAAAACCGAGCGACACACAGGAAGCAAACCCUGGAAAGAGGUGAUUGCGUACAAAAGGAAAAAUCUAUCCUAAUGGCAAUGUGAAACCGUGAUCUCAUCGGGUUCCAACUCAGUUACACCUCNNNNNNNNNNNNNNNNNNNNNNNNNNNNNNNNNNNNNNNNNNNNNNNNNNNNNNNNNNNNNNNNNNNNNNNNNNNNNNNNNNNNNNNNNNNNNNNNNNNNNNNNNNNNNNNNNNNNNNNNNNNNNNNNNNNNNNNNNNNNNNNNNNNNNNNNNNNNNNNNNNNNNNNNNNNNNNNNNNNNNNNNNNNNNNNNNNNNNNNNNNNNNNNNNNNNNNNNNNNNNNNNNNNNNNNNNNNNNNNNNNNNNNNNNNNNNNNNNNNNNNNNNNNNNNNNNNNNNNNNNNNNNNNNNNNNNNNNNNNNNNNNNNNNNNNNNNNNNNNNNNNNNNNNNNNNNNNNNNNNNNNNNNNNNNNNNNNNNNNNNNNNNNNNNNNNNNNNNNNNNNNNNNNNNNNNNNNNNNNNNNNNNNNNNNNNNNNNNNNNNNNNNNNNNNNNNNNNNNNNNNNNNNNNNNNNNNNNNNNNNNNNNNNNNNNNNNNNNNNNNNNNNNNNNNNNNNNNNNNNNNNNNNNNNNNNNNNNNNNNNNNNNNNNNNNNNNNNNNNNNNNNNNNNNNNNNNNNNNNNNNNNNNNNNNNNNNNNNNNNNNNNNNNNNNNNNNNNNNNNNNNNNNNNNNNNNNNNNNNNNNNNNNNNNNNNNNNNNNNNNNNNNNNNNNNNNNNNNNNNNNNNNNNNNNNNNNNNNNNNNNNNNNNNNNNNNNNNNNNNNNNNNNNNNNNNNNNNNNNNNNNNNNNNNNNNNNNNNNNNNNNNNNNNNNNNNNNNNNNNNNNNNNNNNNNNNNNNNNNNNNNNNNNNNNNNNNNNNNNNNNNNNNNNNNNNNNNNNNNNNNNNNNNNNNNNNNNNNNNNNNNNNNNNNNNNNNNNNNNNNNNNNNNNNNNNNNNNNNNNNNNNNNNNNNNNNNNNNNNNNNNNNNNNNNNNNNNNNNNNNNNNNNNNNNNNNNNNNNNNNNNNNNNNNNNNNNNNNNNNNNNNNNNNNNNNNNNNNNNNNNNNNNNNNNNNNNNNNNNNNNNNNNNNNNNNNNNNNNNNNNNNNNNNNNNNNNNNNNNNNNNNNNNNNNNNNNNNNNGUUACACCUCAUAUGUCCUCAAGACUUUCCGCACUUUUUGUUUUCUGAACAAGACGCUUCCGAUCGGUCUCUUGCGGAGAUUAUCCAUGUUAUCAUGAGCACAGACGAUCAUGCCAGACGCAGUUGUUCGUUUCAUUCCCUCUUUUGCCUGGACCGCCCUUUCGGGUUUCAGUCCACCGGGAUACCCUUUUUUGCCCAAGUCGCCCUUGCGGGUUUUCAACUUGCCGGGUGUACAGUUCUUUUCUU